CCCUACGGGGGGCAGCAGUGGGGGAUAUUGCACAAUGGGGGAAACCCUGAUGCAGCGACGCCGCGUGAGCGAUGAAGUAUUUCGGUAUGUAAAGCUCUAUCAGCAGGGAAGAAAAUGACGGUACCUGACUAAGAAGCCCCGGCUAACUACGUGCCAGCAGCCGCGGUAAUACGUAGGGAGCAAGCGUUAUCCGGAUUUACUGGGUGUAAAGGGCGCGUAGGCGGGAUGGCAAGUCAGAUGUGAAAUCCGGGGGCUCAACCCCUGAACUGCAUUUGAAACUGUCGUUCUUGAGUACUGGAGAGGUU
Molecule: ribosomal RNA, 305 nt
Filed under: uncultured bacterium
Lineage: Bacteria
Description: bacterial SSU rRNA
Rfam family: Bacterial small subunit ribosomal RNA
Source: RNAcentral